Long non-coding RNA from Choloepus didactylus (southern two-toed sloth), 598 nucleotides. RefSeq lists it as uncharacterized. The record is from RefSeq and is a predicted model, not a curated record. The transcript is spliced from 3 exons. Lineage: Eukaryota; Metazoa; Chordata; Mammalia; Pilosa; Megalonychidae.
UCCCUCUUUUCCUUUCUGUCUCUGUUGCCUUGUCACCUAUCAGAGGUGAAGAAAAUCCAGGCUGUGAGUGUUGCCUGUUGCAUUCUGGUUAAGGGUGAGGAGGAGACUUGGGAGUUGUGGGUGCCCAAUUUUUCUGGGGCUUCAUGAGGAGAUGUAAACAUUGGGUGAUUGUUCAUUCAGCAAACAUUGGCUGACUGGUGAGGGGGAGGUGUCUACAACAGACAAGGAGCUGCGCCAAAAGCUCACCUUUUGCAAGGGGAGAAGCAAAACCCAGGAAGGCUGGUAAAGUGGACAGUUGCAGUCGUAAGAAGGACAUUGAAGAAACCAGAGCAAGAAAAGGCCCAUCUUUGGAAGCUUGGGAAAGAGAGUGGACCAGGUGGAUGAAACAGCAAAUGCAAAGGCCCUGAAGCGGGAAAGGGAUGCAUAUUUGAGGAAAAACAAGGAGACCAGGAACUGCUGGGCCCCCGCUCAAGAGGGGCUGUCCCUGGGGGCUGGGCCCAUCAGAACACCCGUGCAUCUAGGUCAAGUAUUGGGUUGGCUUUCAGAUGGAAGAUACAAGCACCCUGUGUGGAGACCAUCAGUAAGGCCACUACGCCUU